Molecule: ribosomal RNA, 252 nt
Filed under: uncultured bacterium
Lineage: Bacteria
Description: partial 16S ribosomal RNA
Rfam family: Bacterial small subunit ribosomal RNA
Source: RNAcentral
UACAGAGGUCCCAAGCGUUACUGAGAAUCACUGGGUUUAAAGGGUGCGUAGGUGGUCCGUUAAGUCAGUUGUGAAAUCCCCGGGCUCAACCCGGGAAAUGCUUCUGAUACUGGCGGACUUGAGGCCAGUAGGGGUCACUAGAACUGACGGUGGAGCGGUGAAAUGCGUAGAUAUCGUCAGGAAUGCCGGUGGUGAAGACGGGUGACUGGGCUGUUCUGACACUGAGGCACGAAAGCGUGGGGAGCGAACGGG